This 75-nucleotide transfer RNA is filed under the name Victivallales bacterium. RNAcentral describes it as "tRNA-Gly". It matches the Rfam family "tRNA". From Rfam's summary of the family: Transfer RNA (tRNA) molecules are approximately 80 nucleotides in length. Their secondary structure includes four short double-helical elements and three loops (D, anti-codon, and T loops). The record is from RNAcentral. Lineage: Bacteria; Pseudomonadati; Lentisphaerota; Lentisphaeria; Victivallales.
GCGAGCGUAGCUCAAUGGUAGAGCACCACCUUGCCAAGGUGGAUGUUGACGGUUCGAGUUCGUUCGCCCGCUCCA